RNAcentral lists this transfer RNA (77 nucleotides) under Acidobacteriota bacterium. RNAcentral describes it as "Acidobacteria bacterium tRNA-Arg". It matches the Rfam family "tRNA". From Rfam's summary of the family: Transfer RNA (tRNA) molecules are approximately 80 nucleotides in length. Their secondary structure includes four short double-helical elements and three loops (D, anti-codon, and T loops). Further hydrogen bonds mediate the characteristic L-shaped molecular structure. tRNAs have two regions of fundamental functional importance: the anti-codon, which is responsible for specific mRNA codon recognition, and the 3' end, to which the tRNAs corresponding amino acid is attached (by aminoacyl-tRNA synthetases). tRNAs cope with the degeneracy of the genetic code in two manners: having more than one tRNA (with a specific anti-codon) for a particular amino acid; and 'wobble' base-pairing, i.e. permitting non-standard base-pairing at the 3rd anti-codon position. Lineage: Bacteria; Pseudomonadati; Acidobacteriota. The record is from RNAcentral.
GCGCCUGUAGCUCAGUUGGAUAGAGCGGGGGCCUUCUAAGCCUCAGGUCAGGGGUUCGAAUCCCUUCAGGCGCGCCA